This 1655-nucleotide long non-coding RNA is filed under the name Anas platyrhynchos platyrhynchos (common mallard). RNAcentral's name for it is "lncRNA (ENSAPLG00000030812.1)". Lineage: Eukaryota; Metazoa; Chordata; Aves; Anseriformes; Anatidae. The record is from RNAcentral.
AUGCACACCGAAUGCAUAUCGCAGGCUAAUUAUAAUUUCCCUGCAGAUGCCAAUCAGAACAAGUUAAAGCCAUUGAGAGGAGGAGAAAAAAAAUGCAUCUGUGGUUUGCAAGGGCAACCAAGAGAGAGAGAAAGAAGAGAAAAAAGAUCCCUUCUGGCCUAUGCUCAACUGCUGUAUGCCCCUCAGCUGAAAUGGAAAGCAAAUAUUCCCAGAAUCUGUUCAAUUCAAACAAACGAGUUGGCCAGCACCAGCCUUAGGGAAAGAGUUAACUGGAACGGUAGGAAUAAUUCCAGUGGCUGGAUAGAUGGGUCCUUGUGUCUCCUCUGGAGCCCAGCUCGCGUCUCCCCCUCGAUCUACAGGCCAUGCUCCUACUCGUGUUCUUCUCCACAAGCAUUUUCCUGCCUGAAAGUUGCAGUUCAUGAUCCUCCAGGGAUCCAGUGCAGCCAACAGCCCUUAUUCAGCAAAUGAACCAAGCUGAAAUACUUGCUCAGCUUCCACCAGGUUUGAUCAGAUUGAAGGAGGGGAGGGGUAGAAGUUAAUAGGGAUGGAAAGCAUCUGUCUUAUUUCUCCUUUUCUGAAGAGGAGUCAGAGCUGUUGCCUUUCCACGUGACUCCUGUGUUUUUUAUAGACCCAAAGUGGGAAAGUGUCUGUGCGUUAAGUCCCAAGAUCAAUCACAGCACAAGAUAACAUUUAAAAUAACUGCACCUAUUUUUGUUUGCAUUUCGGUCACUCCUACAAGGUCACUACUUGAAUCCCUACCUUUUGCAGGGCAUGUCAGCUCUUGCAGCUCCUUCCAUACGUCAGGGUGCAUGUCCAGCAAAGUCCCAGCCUGCCUACCACAAGCUUUGCUCUUUAACCCUACAAAGAGAUGUUUUCCUCCUAGGUUCAACCUCUGUUCCCACCCUACAUCCUCUCACAGCCCAUCUUUAUCAGAUGACAAACCUGGGUGCCUUAAGAACAAGGACAAGGGUAACGGCAGCCUGUUUGUUUAGAAAUUAGAGUCAGGUUUGCAGAAGGAUUAGACACAGUUCCACUGAACUGCACAUGGCCUGCUAAGAACUCGUCCUUGCAUUAAGCACAAAAAAAAUGUACGCUUCAGUUAGAGAAGCAAAUGCAUUGGAGAUUCCUUAUUAAUCACCCUUGCACAGCUGCCAGCUUCUGCCAGACCACACGAAAAAAUGAUUCACAAAGCUCUGCACCUUCUCUUACCUCCCCACUCACCCACACACGCUUCCCUGCAAAGGGAAAUCCUCAGCCUCACACACGUCUGGAUACAUCAGAACUCAAAGACCUCCUUUUCCUUCAGAAGUGUCUGUGUGGGAUCAUCAGCUGCAUCCAGGGCCCUGGUCCCAAGCUUGAGAAAAGGGAUCAGACUUCACCAAGAGCAACGCAGCUGCAUGUGCUUACAGCAGCAGAGAAUUUGGGCUGAGGCCCAGAUCUUCAAAGGGACUGAAUUGCCUAAUUUCUAUUGAAAUAACUUGGGGUUAGACACCUAAAUACUUUUGAAAAGCCAGGUCUGAUUUUUUUUUUUUUUGAAUUAAAAAACGUAAGCCCAGACAAAAUGAGCAUUAAAAAGUCUUAAUGGGCUAUUCUGUAGUAGUACUUCUAAUGGUUAUUGCUCUUGACUGGCUAAUAAAUUAUAUUUUUAUUUGCCA